CCUACGGGCGGCAGCAGUGAGGAAUAUUGGUCAAUGGGCUUACGCCUGAACCAGCCAAGUCGCGUGAGGGAAGACUGCCCUAUGGGUUGUAAACCUCUUUUGUGAGGGAGAAAUAGGCGCUACGUGUAGCGUUAUCGAGAGUACCUGAAGAAAAAGCAUCGGCUAACUCCGUGCCAGCAGCCGCGGUAAUACGGGGGAUGCGAGCGUUAUCCGGAUUUAUUGGGUUUAAAGGGUGAGUAGGCGGAUUUUAAAGUCAGCGGUAAAAUGUCCGGGCUCAACCCGGGCCGGCCGUUGAAACUGGGGAUCUUGAGUGGGCUAGAAGUAUGCGGAAUGCGUGGUGUAGCGGUGAAAUGCAUAGAUAUCACGCAGAACUCCGAUUGCGAAGGCAGCAUACCGGCGCCCGACUGACGCUGAGGCACGAAAGCGUGGGGAUCGAACAGGAUUAGAUACCCCAGUAGUC
This 460-nucleotide ribosomal RNA is filed under the name uncultured bacterium. RNAcentral's name for it is "partial 16S ribosomal RNA". It matches the Rfam family "Bacterial small subunit ribosomal RNA", at positions 338 to 795 of the family's 1533-position model. The record is from RNAcentral.